RNAcentral lists this ribosomal RNA (497 nucleotides) under uncultured bacterium. RNAcentral describes it as "partial 16S ribosomal RNA". It matches the Rfam family "Bacterial small subunit ribosomal RNA", at positions 28 to 507 of the family's 1533-position model. The record is from RNAcentral.
GAUGAACGCUGGCGGCGUGCCUAAUACAUGCAAGUCGAGCGAACGGACGAGAAGCUUGCUUCUCUGAUGUUAGCGGCGGACGGGUGAGUAACACGUGGAUAACCUACCGAUAAGACUGGGAUAACUUCGGGAAACCGGAGCUAAUACCGGAUAAUAUUUUGAACCGCAUGGUUCAAAAGUGAAAGACGGUCUUGCUGUCACUUAUAGAUGGAUCCGCGCUGCAUUAGCUAGUUGGUAAGGUAACGGCUUACCAAGGCAACGAUGCAUAGCCGACCUGAGAGGGUGAUCGGCCACACUGGAACUGAGACACGGUCCAGACUCCUACGGGAGGCAGCAGUAGGGAAUCUUCCGCAAUGGGCGAAAGCCUGACGGAGCAACGCCGCGUGCGUGAUGAAGGUCUUCGGAUCGUAAAACUCUGUUAUUAGGGAAGAACAUAUGUGUAAGUAACUGUGCACAUCUUGACGGUACCUAAUCAGAAAGCCACGGCUAACUACGUG